Molecule: unclassified non-coding RNA, 156 nt
Filed under: uncultured Colletotrichum
Lineage: Eukaryota; Fungi; Ascomycota; Sordariomycetes; Glomerellales; Plectosphaerellaceae
Description: sequence contains ITS2
Source: RNAcentral
CGCCACUCAAGCCUCGCUUGGUGUUGGGGCCCUACAGCUGAUGUAGGCCCUCAAAGGUAGUGGCGGACCCUCCCGGAGCCUCCUUUGCGUAGUAACUUUACGUCUCGCACUGGGAUCCGGAGGGACUCUUGCCGUAAAACCCCCCAAUUUUCCAAA